UAGAUAGAGGCGCGGUAUCCAUCAGUACCAUCCCGCAGGCAUUAGGCGGCGCGGGGUGCGAAAGGGGCCACCGCCGAAGCGUGAGAGCUUGCCUAAGGGCUCUUGUUGCUGGGUCGGCAGAUAACAUCUGCCGGACUGUCACAUAACUUGUGAAGCGCUAUC
RNAcentral lists this non-coding RNA (162 nucleotides) under human gut metagenome. RNAcentral's name for it is "Lysine riboswitch". It matches the Rfam family "Lysine riboswitch aptamer". From Rfam's summary of the family: Riboswitches are metabolite binding domains within certain messenger RNAs that serve as precision sensors for their corresponding targets. The record is from RNAcentral.